This 1008-nucleotide long non-coding RNA is filed under the name Papio anubis (olive baboon). RNAcentral describes it as "lncRNA (ENSPANG00000037293.1)". Lineage: Eukaryota; Metazoa; Chordata; Mammalia; Primates; Cercopithecidae. The record is from RNAcentral.
AUGGAGUUCCCGGAGUGCGUGCCAUGCUCUUUCUUCUUUCUCCACUCAAACCAAUCUGGGCUCAUCUUUAGGAUCUCGCUCUUCUCUCUGGGCCUCAGUUUUCUUAUCUUUAAAAUUAGAAGGGCUAUCUGGGCUGGCAUAGGCGAAGCCCUCUCUUGCCUUGGCCACAUCCCAUGCCAGAAUAGUCACCAUAGCCCAUCAGUGACCCCACGGCCACCUCCCAUGCCAGGACAGAUACCACCAGCCCAUCAGCGACCCCACGGCCACCUCCCAUGCCAGGACAGAUACCACCAGCCCGUCAGCGACCCCAUGGCCACCUCCCAUGCCAAAACAGACACUAUCAGUCUGUCAACAACCCCAUGGCCACCUCCACGCAAGGACAGAGACCACCAGCCCAUCAAUGACCCAACAGCCACCUCUCACACCAGGGCAGACUCCAUCAGCCUGUCAGCAACUCCUCUUCAUGGAGGACAGACUCAGCCUCAUGACCACCCUCUACAGAGCUCCAAGCUGGUGUGGAGACAACUCCUAUUGGCCAUGAAGACACCAGGCCAUUCACUCAUUCAUUCACUCAUUCAUUCACUCAUCCAUUCUCUCAUCCAUUCACUCAUCCAUUCACUCAUCCAUUCACUCAUCCAUUUACUCAUCCGUUCACUUCCAUCCAUUUCCUCACCAUCCGCUCACUUCCGUCCGCUUUCAUCCGCUUCACUUCCAUCCGUUUCUUCAUCCGCUUCACUCCAUCCGUCACUCCAUCCGCUUCAUCCGCUUCACUCAUCCGUUCACUCAUCCGUUCACUCAUCCGUUCUCUCAUCCAUUCACUCAUCCACUCACUCAUUCACUCAUCCACUCACUCAUCCAUUCACUCACCCGUUCACUCACCUGUUCACUCAUUCACUCAUCCAUUCACUCAUUCAUUCACUCAUCCAUUCACUCAUCCAUUCACUUAUUCAUUGGCACAACCACUUUUCUGACGCCUUUACUGUAUGCUCAGUUCUGCGGGGGCUUUAG